This 348-nucleotide unclassified non-coding RNA is filed under the name soil metagenome. Its description in RNAcentral is "partial contains 5.8S ribosomal RNA, internal transcribed spacer 2, and large subunit ribosomal RNA". The stretch from base 1 to 120 matches the Rfam family "5.8S ribosomal RNA", at positions 35 to 154 of the family's 154-position model. The record is from RNAcentral.
GAUGAAGAACGUAGCGAAAAGCGAUAAGUAAUGUGAAUUGCAGAAUUCAGUGAAUCAUCGAGUCUUUGAACGCACAUUGCGCCCCCUGGUAUUCCGGGGGGCAUGCCUGUCCGAGCGUCAUUGCUGCCCUCAAGCACGGCUUGUGUGUUGGGCCCCCGUCCCCGGUUUCCCCCGGGGACGGGCCCGAAAGGCAGCGGCGGCACCGCGUCCGGUCCUCGAGCGUAUGGGGCUUUGUCACCCGCUCUGUAGGCCCGGCCGGCGCCAGCCGACACCCAACUUUAUUUCUAAGGUUGACCUCGGAUCAGGUAGGGAUACCCGCUGAACUUAAGCAUAUCAAUAAGCGGAGGA